Molecule: long non-coding RNA, 1495 nt
Organism: Bos taurus (domestic cattle)
Lineage: Eukaryota; Metazoa; Chordata; Mammalia; Artiodactyla; Bovidae
Source: Ensembl
GGAACAGAAGAGCAAAGCCCAGCCGGGAGUGGGACUGGACCGGACAACGGGGUGCUGGAAUCCAGGUCCUAGAUCCUGCAGCGCCCCUGGGCACUCUCCGGACGUCGCCAGCCAUCGAUCCUGGAGACAGGACGAGGCUGACCAACCGUAUUUGUCUGGGCGCCACCGCUCAGCCUCAAAAAGAAACCCGGGGUCGCAGCGGGAACAGGGAUUGGCGCGAUCCCCGCGGGGGUGGUCCUCCCCAGACCCACCUGGGGGCUCUCAGAGCGCAGGGACGGAGGGUAGCCCGGGUCCCGGCCCUCUCGGGGGUCAUGUUUGGCCUCCGUCGGCCGUCUUGCCAACCGCAAGGCCGCGCUCUGGAUGGACGUGUUCCGCCUCCGCCGGCUCCAUGACCCCCUCCCCGCGCCGCAGGAGCGGAACUGCCGGAUGCUCCCCAACCGGGUCCCGCAACUGUGGUUGCAAGGGAGCUAGACCGCGGACGCAAGAAGACCCCGGUUGGUAGCUUUUCGCCUUUCCCGUCUGUUACGUUUCUUUUCUAGCCUGCCUGGAGAUGUUGACCUCUGGGUGAGCGGACGUUGACGCCGGCUGCUUCCCAUUGUCCCUAAGCAGCCCCUGGACUCUCCAGGCACCACCGCCCUGGCGCGGCCCUGGUGACGCUGUAUGGAGACCGAGAUGCGCCCUCUGCUUAAAGGCGGCUGCAUGGAGGAGGGCUCCUGGGGUGUCAGGGGAGGGCCUAGUUUAGCCCUGGUGACAGGCCAAGGCCCCUCUCCACCGACCCCGCACAAUUCUGGGAGAGGUGACCCGGCCCCGCCGCAGACCUGCUAAAGACGUUUUUGAAACAAGGCCUUUGGCUUUCAACUGCUCCUCCGCCCACCGUGUCUGGAAAGGAACAGUGUUUCCAAAAUAACCACAAAUGAACAGACACGAUUGAGGCCCAGUGAGCAUCAGCCCAGCACCAAGGCCAGGAUGCAGAGCCCAGCACCCGUUUUCCCCUCCGUCCAGGGACCCUGUGCCUCAGGAGGACUGAGUGGGGGUCCUGAGAAGCAGCUUCCCCCGCUCCCACCCCAUCAAGGCUUCAUCAGUGCCAACUGUGCUCCCCACCAGGGAGGUCAUGGCCAGUGUCUGGGAUCACAGACACAGUGACCCUUUGCUGAAGAUCCCACCCCCACCCCCUUAGGCCCCCUGCAGAGCCUGCAGGAAAAGAUGAGAGGGCAACUGGGUACCAUGCUCCCGAGGGGCAUUCCCUUCAUUCUUCAAGGGGUUACUGCUUCCUGUAUCUUUUUUUUCUUUUUUUGGCUGCACUGAAUCUUUGUUGCUGCCAGAGGGCUUUCUCUAGCUGCCAGGAGUGGGGAUUGCUUUUCCUUGGGGAGUACGGGCUCCAGAAUUCUUGGGCUCAGUAGUUGGGGGAGCAGUCUUUGUUACCCUGAGAUGUGUGGAGUCUUCCUGGACCAGGGAUGGAACCCAGGUCCCCUGCACUGGCAGGCGGAUUCUUAAC